UACGUAGGUGGCAAGCGUUGUCCGGAUUUACUGGGCGUAAAGAGCGCGCAGGCGGUCGUUCAAGUCGCGUGUGAAAGCCCCGGCUCAACUGGGAGGGUCACGCGAUACUGAUCGACUCGAAGGCAGGAGAGGGUAGUGGAAUUCCGGUGUAGUGGUGAAAUGCGUAGAUAUCGGGAGGAACACCAGUGGCGAAGGCGACUACCUGGCCUGUUCUUGACGCUGAGGCGCGAAAGCUAGGGGAGCAAACGGGG
This 251-nucleotide ribosomal RNA is filed under the name uncultured bacterium. Its description in RNAcentral is "partial 16S ribosomal RNA". It matches the Rfam family "Bacterial small subunit ribosomal RNA", at positions 524 to 777 of the family's 1533-position model. The record is from RNAcentral.